Molecule: long non-coding RNA, 397 nt
Organism: Mauremys mutica (yellowpond turtle)
Lineage: Eukaryota; Metazoa; Chordata; Testudines; Geoemydidae
Exons: 3
Source: RefSeq, a predicted model, not a curated record
ACUUUUAAAAUUGGGGGAAAAGCUUUCCCUUUGUCUGUUUUGUUGUUGUUCUCUGGAGCGAGGAGACGCAGAGUGGGAACUAUGAAGUAGGAAGCUUUAAGCCAGGAGACAAGUAAACAGCUGCCUUCUCCCCAGUCUGAGGGGAACCGGUUUCUCCCUGUUGGCCACAGAUUUUAAAGCAUUAUAUCAUGAAAAGAAUUUGAAGACAGUCUUUGAUUUGGAAAGACAUCUCAACUCAAGCCUAAGAGAUUUCCAAGCAGCAAACUGGACCAAUUUUUUUCAGGGGAAAUAAAGCAGCCAUGAUAGUUUUAAGUGGCAGCCAUGAAUACUGUAUUUUUUCACAUUUUGUAUUAACUGUGGACAUUACUGCCAGUAUGCAGCUAAUAUUUCACUGUGU